RNAcentral lists this ribosomal RNA (541 nucleotides) under uncultured bacterium. RNAcentral's name for it is "bacterial SSU rRNA". It matches the Rfam family "Bacterial small subunit ribosomal RNA", at positions 777 to 1319 of the family's 1533-position model. The record is from RNAcentral.
AAUAGAUACCCCGGUAGUCCACCCCGUAAACGUUGGGAACUAGUUGUGGGGUCCUUUCCACGGAUUCCGUGACGCAGCUAACGCAUUAAGUUCCCCGCCUGGGGAGUACGGCCGCAAGGCUAAAACUCAAAGGAAUUGACGGGGACCCGCACAAGCGGCGGAGCAUGCGGAUUAAUUCGAUGCAACGCGAAGAACCUUACCAAGGCUUGACAUACACCGGAAACGGCCAGAGAUGGUCGCCCCGCAAGGUCGGUGUACAGGUGGUGCAUGGUUGUCGUCAGCUCGUGUCGUGAGAUGUUGGGUUAAGUCCCGCAACGAGCGCAACCCUCGUUCUAUGUUGCCAGCACGUCAUGGUGGGAACUCAUGGGAUACUGCCGGGGUCAACUCGGAGGAAGGUGGGGAUGACGUCAAAUCAUCGAUGCCCCUUAUGUCUUGGGCUUCACGCAUGCUACAAUGGCCGGUACAGAGGGCUGCAAGUACCGUGAGGUGAGCGAAUCCCAAAAGCCGGUCCAGUUCGGAUUGAGGUCUGCAACUCGACCUC